UACCUGUUGGCGUUUAGACCUGGACCUACCGAGAACCAGAUUUGUGUACCGAACCCUGCUAUCCUUGACCUUACCUGCGGCCUAGGUGGACCAGGACAGCGAAACAAACACACAGAGAAUUUGAUAGUACAUCCAACUGGCCUCCACAUCCAGCUUCUUCACCUACAGGAUCGUCUGAGAACAGCCACCCGAACAGCUGAUGAAACUGCGGAGUAUUUCUACCUUUAAUACAGCCCUUUUGUGAGGGAAUGCCUGUGUGUGGCAAUAAUGAACAUGGAGUGAACCAAGGUUUACAAGAAUGUCUUCGG
RNAcentral lists this long non-coding RNA (308 nucleotides) under Salmo salar (Atlantic salmon). RNAcentral's name for it is "lncRNA (ENSSSAG00000113942.1)". The record is from RNAcentral. Lineage: Eukaryota; Metazoa; Chordata; Actinopteri; Salmoniformes; Salmonidae.